RNAcentral lists this ribosomal RNA (466 nucleotides) under uncultured bacterium. RNAcentral describes it as "partial 16S ribosomal RNA". It matches the Rfam family "Bacterial small subunit ribosomal RNA", at positions 28 to 507 of the family's 1533-position model. The record is from RNAcentral.
GAUGAACGCUGGCGGCGUGCUUAACACAUGCAAGUCGAACGAUGAAGCCCAGCUUGCUGGGUGGAUUAGUGGCGAACGGGUGAGUAACACGUGAGUAACCUGCCCUUAACUCUGGGAUAAGCCUGGGAAACUGGGUCUAAUACCGGAUAGGAGCGUCCACCGCAUGGUGGGUGUUGGAAAGAUUUAUCGGUUUUGGAUGGACUCGCGGCCUAUCAGCUUGUUGGUGAGGUAAUGGCUCACCAAGGCGACGACGGGUAGCCGGCCUGAGAGGGUGACCGGCCACACUGGGACUGAGAAACGGCCCAGACUCCUACGGGAGGCAGCAGUGGAGAAUAUUAAACAAUGGGCGCAAGCCUGAUGCAGCGACGCCGCGUGAGGGAUGACGGCCUUCGGGUUGUAACCCUCUUUCAGUAGGGAAGAAGCGAAAGUGACGGUACCUGCAGAAGAAGCACCGGCUAACUACGUG